This 490-nucleotide ribosomal RNA is filed under the name uncultured bacterium. RNAcentral's name for it is "partial 16S ribosomal RNA". It matches the Rfam family "Bacterial small subunit ribosomal RNA", at positions 28 to 507 of the family's 1533-position model. The record is from RNAcentral.
GAUGAACGCUAGCUACAGGCUUAACACAUGCAAGUCGCGGGGCAGCAUGGGGGUUGCUUGCAAUCCCCGAUGGCGACCGGCGCACGGGUGAGUAACGCGUAUCCAACCUGCCCUUCACCACGGGAUAACCCGGCGAAAGUCGGACUAAUACCGUAUGUUGUCCAUUGACGGCAUCCGAUUUGGACGAAAGGUUUGGCGGUGAAGGAUGGGGAUGCGUCCGAUUAGCUGGACGGCGGGGUGACGGCCCACCGUGGCGACGAUCGGUAGGGGUUCUGAGAGGAAGGUCCCCCACACUGGAACUGAGACACGGUCCAGACUCCUACGGGAGGCAGCAGUGAGGAAUAUUGGUUAAUGGGCGUAAGCCUGAACCAGCCAAGUAGCGUGCAGGAUGACGGCCCUAUGGGUUGUAAACUGCUUUUAUGCGGGGAUAAAGUGGCCCACGUGUGGGUUUUUGCAGGUACCGCAUGAAUAAGGACCGGCUAAUUCCGUG